UGGAAAGCACCUGAAUGGUUCUUUGUGCU
This 29-nucleotide non-coding RNA is filed under the name Rattus norvegicus (Norway rat). The record is from RNAcentral. Lineage: Eukaryota; Metazoa; Chordata; Mammalia; Rodentia; Muridae.